UACGAAGGGGGCUAGCGUUGUUCGGAAUUACUGGGCGUAAAGGGCGCGUAGGCGGACGCGUAAGUCAGGGGUGAAAUCCCGGGGCUCAACCUCGGAACUGCCUCUGAUACUGCCAGUCUAGAGUCCGGAAGAGGUGGGUGGAAUUCCUAGUGUAGAGGUGAAAUUCGCAGAUAUUAGGAAGAACACCGGUGGCGAAGGCGGCCCACUGGUCCGGUACUGACGCUGAGGUGCGAAAGCGUGGGGAGCAAACAGG
RNAcentral lists this ribosomal RNA (253 nucleotides) under uncultured bacterium. RNAcentral's name for it is "partial 16S ribosomal RNA". It matches the Rfam family "Bacterial small subunit ribosomal RNA", at positions 524 to 776 of the family's 1533-position model. The record is from RNAcentral.